UACGUAGGGUGCGAGCGUUGUCCGGAAUUACUGGGCGUAAAGAGCUCGUAGGUGGUUUGUCGCGUUGUUCGUGAAAACUCUCAGCUUAACUAUGGGCGUGCGGGCGAUACGGGCAGACUGGAGUACUGCAGGGGAGACUGGAAUUCCUGGUGUAGCGGUGGAAUGCGCAGAUAUCAGGAGGAACACCGGUGGCGAAGGCGGGUCUCUGGGCUGACCUUGACGCUGAGGCGCGAAGGCGUGGGGAGCGAACGGG
RNAcentral lists this ribosomal RNA (253 nucleotides) under uncultured bacterium. RNAcentral describes it as "partial 16S ribosomal RNA". It matches the Rfam family "Bacterial small subunit ribosomal RNA", at positions 524 to 776 of the family's 1533-position model. The record is from RNAcentral.